This 563-nucleotide ribosomal RNA is filed under the name uncultured bacterium. RNAcentral's name for it is "bacterial SSU rRNA". It matches the Rfam family "Bacterial small subunit ribosomal RNA", at positions 338 to 916 of the family's 1533-position model. The record is from RNAcentral.
CCUACGGGAGGCAGCAGUGGGGAAUAUUGGACAAUGGGCGAAAGCCUGAUCCAGCAAUGCCGCGUGAGUGAUGAAGGCCUUCGGGUCGUAAAGCUCUUUUACCAGGGAUGAUAAUGACAGUACCUGGAGAAUAAGCUCCGGCUAACUCCGUGCCAGCAGCCGCGGUAAUACGGAGGGAGCUAGCGUUGUUCGGAAUUACUGGGCGUAAAGAGUACGUAGGCGGUUAUUCAAGUCAGAGGUGAAAGCCCGGGGCUCAACCCCGGAACUGCCUUUGAAACUAGAUAACUAGAGUCUUGGAGAGGUUAGUGGAAUUCCGAGUGUAGAGGUGAAAUUCGUAGAUAUUCGGAAGAACACCAGUGGCGAAGGCGACUAACUGGACAAGUACUGACGCUGAGGUACGAAAGCGUGGGGAGCAAACAGGAUUAGAUACCCUGGUAGUCCACGCCGUAAACGAUGAUAACUAGUUGUUCGGUCACUUGGUGACUGAGUGACGCAGCUAACGCAUUAAGUUAUCCGCCUGGGGAGUACGGUCGCAAGAUUAAAACUUAAAAUGAAAUUGACGG